GCCCGCGUAGCUCAAUCGGUAGAGCGUGAGACUCUUAUUCUUGUGGUUAUCUCAAGGCUGCGGGUUCGACCCCCGCCGUGGGCU
Molecule: non-coding RNA, 84 nt
Organism: Hypoxylon sp. FL1150
Lineage: Eukaryota; Fungi; Ascomycota; Sordariomycetes; Xylariales; Hypoxylaceae
Source: the annotation of a GenBank genome assembly